UAUUUUAAAGAGAGUUUGAUCCUGGCUCAGGACGAACGCUGGCGGCGUGCCUAAUACAUGCAAGUCGAACGAACGGAGGAAGAGCUUGCUCUUCCAAAGUUAGUGGCGGACGGGUGAGUAACACGUGGGCAACCUGCCUGUAAGUUGGGGAUAACUCCGGGAAACCGGGGCUAAUACCGAAUGAUAGAAUGUGGCGCAUGCCACGCUUUUGAAAGAUGGUUUCGGCUAUCGCUUACAGAUGGGCCCGCGGUGCAUUAGCUAGUUGG
RNAcentral lists this ribosomal RNA (266 nucleotides) under Listeria monocytogenes. Its description in RNAcentral is "partial 16S ribosomal RNA". It matches the Rfam family "Bacterial small subunit ribosomal RNA", at positions 1 to 252 of the family's 1533-position model. Lineage: Bacteria; Bacillati; Bacillota; Bacilli; Caryophanales; Listeriaceae. The record is from RNAcentral.